CUAGAUCAAAAAAUAUAUAAAUUAUUUUGUUAAUUGAGAAGGAAUUCGGUUAGAGUCCGAAGCUGACGCGCAACUGUGUUUUCAAUUGAAUAAGCCAGAUACUUCUCCUAUUUCUCUGCCUCGC
RNAcentral lists this non-coding RNA (124 nucleotides) under Fidelibacterota (SAR406 cluster). Lineage: Bacteria; Pseudomonadati. The record is from RNAcentral.